AGUUCAGCACGAGUCGUCGAGAAGGUGUGUCCUUCAAACGAUUGCGCUUACGCCAUGUCUAUAUGGACCUGUGUGGUCAUAUAAAUGACCUGUGUGGUCAUAGAACUGUACUGUGUGGUGGUACCGUUCUGUGUAUUGGUGGUGCCGUUUAUUCUGUGUGAAACCCCGUGUGGUUAUAUAACUCUCCUAUAUGGUUGUGCUAUACUGGGUGUUGGUGGUGCUGUUCUGUGUGAAAUCCUGUGUGGAAGGACAGUGACCUCUGAUGUGUACUCACUGAGGCGAUUCAUGUAAUCCAUCUACUGGUUCUGCCUGCUUGUACUGUAUGUGAGUGUUCCUGUACUACUAGCAUUGCCAAAGUCUACUUCUACUACAUUUGCCAGCGUAUUAUACCUGGAUGAGGCAUAAUGAGAAAUCUCUGAAAUGCGAGUUACAACUACGGAUACCAAGUGGUGAUAUAAACAACAUGUGCACGUAUCCUUAUCAUGUGUGCGCAUCGCAUUGUGAACCAAUGUCCCAUUGAACGUUCUAUUUACCUGUAUACUGGUCACGGUUUUCAUCAAAUAGACUGUUUAUCUUAAAGCAAAGUA
This is a long non-coding RNA of Ostrea edulis (European flat oyster), 587 nucleotides long. RefSeq lists it as uncharacterized. The record is from RefSeq and is a predicted model, not a curated record. NCBI's taxonomy places the organism in Eukaryota, Metazoa, Mollusca, Bivalvia, Ostreida, Ostreidae. The transcript is spliced from 2 exons.